This 333-nucleotide long non-coding RNA is filed under the name Bos taurus (domestic cattle). RNAcentral describes it as "long non-coding RNA NONBTAT011645". The record is from RNAcentral. Lineage: Eukaryota; Metazoa; Chordata; Mammalia; Artiodactyla; Bovidae.
UCAGCAUAAAUAAAGCAUUUUAUUCAAAUUAAACUGAAAUUGGAUAAAAAGUAAGACAUUAUUUAGUUCAAGCUUCAGAAACCAAAUAGUAAAUAAAGACAAAUGAGAAAGAGUUUUCUCUUCCCUCCCCUCUUUUUAUAAAAACACUUUUAACUCCAAAAGAAUAUACAGACCAACAGCAAUGAUCGAAACUUGGCUUUUACAUUCUAAUAUCUGGUUUGAACUUUCUAAAGAUGAAUAAAAGGUCUUUAUAUUGACUGGCUAGGAAAAAAAUAAAACUGAACUCUGCAGAUGGUCAGGCCAUUCUUGCUAUCAAAAAGCACAACAUACAUG